AACUACCUGAGUUGCGUAUGAUUACCUGCUGAACUUAAGCAUAUCAGUAAGCAGAGGAAAAGAAACAAACAUGGAUUCCCCCAGUAACUGCGAGUGAAAAGGGAAAAGCCCAGCGCUUAAGGUUGUUGCUUGUAUGAGUGACGACCGGUGUAGCGUAUAGAACUUUCGUUCCAUGGCUGACGGCUUGUCUAAGUCUCGUUGGAAAGCGGUGGCAUAGACGGUUUUACCCCGGUAAGGCUUGCUGUUGUCGUGGAGUGUUUGUUCUGGGAGUCGGGUUGUUUGGAAACGCAGCCCAAAGAACGGUGGUAAACUUCACCUAAGGCUAAAUACGACCGUGAAACCGAUAGAAAACAAGUACCGUGAGGAAAGU
This 370-nucleotide ribosomal RNA is filed under the name Bursaphelenchus willibaldi. RNAcentral describes it as "eukaryotic LSU rRNA". It matches the Rfam family "Eukaryotic large subunit ribosomal RNA", at positions 1 to 364 of the family's 3401-position model. The record is from RNAcentral. Lineage: Eukaryota; Metazoa; Nematoda; Chromadorea; Rhabditida; Aphelenchoididae.